GCACUGCUGAAGAGACCCGACCAAGUCGAAACAGUUGUCCAGUGC
RNAcentral lists this non-coding RNA (45 nucleotides) under Echinostoma caproni. The record is from RNAcentral. Lineage: Eukaryota; Metazoa; Platyhelminthes; Trematoda; Plagiorchiida; Echinostomatidae.